CCUCCGCCUCUCCUCCAUGGCAGAUCCGCCGCCGCCGUUCAACGCCACGGAUGUUCACGGCCAUCGCCUGGCCGUGGAAGAGCACGGCCGCCGUCUCUUCGUCCUCCAUCGCUGCCGUUCGUCGUCGGAUUCGCUGUGAGGAGCCGAGCACCGUCUCACAAAGAUCGGAGACAACGGCAGGUUCACCGCCGCCGCUCCGUCGCCGGCGACGAGCCACCGCGGCUGCCGCCUCCCUCUGAUCUCAACUCACAUAUACA
This is a long non-coding RNA of Salvia miltiorrhiza (redroot sage), 257 nucleotides long. RefSeq lists it as uncharacterized. The transcript has 3 exons. The record is from RefSeq and is a predicted model, not a curated record. NCBI's taxonomy places the organism in Eukaryota, Viridiplantae, Streptophyta, Magnoliopsida, Lamiales, Lamiaceae.